Molecule: ribosomal RNA, 253 nt
Filed under: uncultured bacterium
Lineage: Bacteria
Description: partial 16S ribosomal RNA
Rfam family: Bacterial small subunit ribosomal RNA
Source: RNAcentral
UACAGAGGGGGCAAGCGUUAUUCGGAAUUAUUGGGCGUAAAGGGCGCGUAGGCGGCCUGGCAAGUGGAAGGUGAAAUCCCUCGGCUUAACCGAGGAACUGCCUUCCAAACUGCUUGGCUUGAGUCCGGGAGAGGUGAGUGGAAUUCCCAGUGUAGCGGUGAAAUGCGUAGAUAUUGGGAGGAACACCUGUGGCGAAAGCGGCUCACUGGACCACAACUGACGCUGAUGCGCGAAAGCUAGGGGAGCAAACAGG